AUUGAACGCUGGCGGCAGGCCUAACACAUGCAAGUCGAACGAGCGGCGGACGGGUGAGUACUGUCUGGGAAACUGCCUGAUGGGGGGGGAUAACUACUGGAAACGGUAGCUAAUACCGCAUACCAUCAUAUGUGCCCAGAUGGGCUUAGCUAGUUGGUGGGGUAACGGCUCACCAAGGCGACGAUCCCUAGCUGGGCUGAGAGGAUGACCAGGCACAGUCGAACUCCGACACGGUACAAACCCCUACGGGAGGCAGCAGUGGGGAAUAGUGCACAAUGGGGGCAAGACUGGUGCAGCCCUGCCCGGUGUAUGAAGAAGGCGUACGGGGUGUAAAGUACCUCCCGGGGGGAUGCGAUACCCGCAGAAGCAGCACCGGUUAACGCCGCGCGAGCAGCCGCGGUAAUAC
Molecule: ribosomal RNA, 406 nt
Filed under: uncultured bacterium
Lineage: Bacteria
Description: partial 16S ribosomal RNA
Rfam family: Bacterial small subunit ribosomal RNA
Source: RNAcentral